AUGAACGCUGGCGGCGUGCCUAAUACCUGCAAGUCGCGCGAACAGACGAGGAGCUUGCUCCUCUGACGUUAGCGGCGGACGGGUGAGUAACACGUGGAUAACCUACCUAUAAGACUGGGAUAACUUCGGGAAACCGGAGCUAAUACCGGAUAAUAUAUUGAACCGCAUGGUUCAAUAGUGAAAGACGGUUUUGCUGUCACUUAUAGAUGGAUCCGCGCCGCAUUAGCUAGUUGGUAAGGUAACGGCUUACCAAGGCAACGAUGCGUAGCCGACCUGAGAGGGUGAUCGGCCACACUGGAACUGAGACACGGUCCAGACUCCUACGGGAGGCAGCAGUAGGGAAUCUUCCGCAAUGGGCGAAAGCCUGACGGAGCAACGCCGCAUGAGUGAUGAAGGUCUUCGGAUCGUAAAACUCUGUUAUUAGGGAAGAACAAAUGUGUAAGUAACUAUGCACGUCUUGACGGUACCUAAUCAGAAAGCCACGGCUAACUACGUG
RNAcentral lists this ribosomal RNA (496 nucleotides) under uncultured bacterium. RNAcentral's name for it is "partial 16S ribosomal RNA". It matches the Rfam family "Bacterial small subunit ribosomal RNA", at positions 29 to 507 of the family's 1533-position model. The record is from RNAcentral.